This 1441-nucleotide ribosomal RNA is filed under the name uncultured organism. Its description in RNAcentral is "16S ribosomal RNA". It matches the Rfam family "Bacterial small subunit ribosomal RNA". The record is from RNAcentral.
CAGGCUUAACACAUGCAAGUCGAGGGGCAGCAUUUUAGUUUGCUUGCAAACUGAAGAUGGCGACCGGCGCACGGGUGAGUAACACGUAUCCAACCUGCCGAUAACUCCGGAAUAGCCUUUCGAAAGAAAGAUUAAUACCGGAUAGCAUACGAAUAUCGCAUGAUAUUUUUAUUAAAGAAUUUCGGUUAUCGAUGGGGAUGCGUUCCAUUAGUUUGUUGGCGGGGUAACGGCCCACCAAGACAACGAUGGAUAGGGGUUCUGAGAGGAAGGUCCCCCACAUUGGAACUGAGACACGGUCCAAACUCCUACGGGAGGCAGCAGUGAGGAAUAUUGGUCAAUGGGCGAGAGCCUGAACCAGCCAAGUAGCGUGAAGGAUGAAGGCUCUAUGGGUCGUAAACUUCUUUUAUAUGGGAAUAAAGUUUUCCACGCGUGGAAUUUUGUAUGUACCAUAUGAAUAAGGAUCGGCUAACUCCGUGCCAGCAGCCGCGGUAAUACGGAGGAUCCGAGCGUUAUCCGGAUUUAUUGGGUUUAAAGGGAGCGUAGGUGGAUUGUUAAGUCAGUUGUGAAAGUUUGCGGCUCAACCGUAAAAUUGCAGUUGAAACUGGCAGUCUUGAGUACAGUAGAGGUGGGCGGAAUUCGUGGUGUAGCGGUGAAAUGCUUAGAUAUCACGAAGAACUCCGAUUGCGAAGGCAGCUCACUAGACUGUCACUGACACUGAUGCUCGAAAGUGUGGGUAUCAAACAGGAUUAGAUACCCUGGUAGUCCACACAGUAAACGAUGAAUACUCGCUGUUUGCGAUAUACAGUAAGCGGCCAAGCGAAAGCAUUAAGUAUUCCACCUGGGGAGUACGCCGGCAACGGUGAAACUCAAAGGAAUUGACGGGGGCCCGCACAAGCGGAGGAACAUGUGGUUUAAUUCGAUGAUACGCGAGGAACCUUACCCGGGCUUAAAUUGCAACAGAAUAUAUUGGAAACAGUAUAGCCGUAAGGCUGUUGUGAAGGUGCUGCAUGGUUGUCGUCAGCUCGUGCCGUGAGGUGUCGGCUUAAGUGCCAUAACGAGCGCAACCCUUAUCUUUAGUUACUAACAGGUGAUGCUGAGGACUCUAGAGAGACUGCCGUCGUAAGAUGUGAGGAAGGUGGGGAUGACGUCAAAUCAGCACGGCCCUUACGUCCGGGGCUACACACGUGUUACAAUGGGGGGUACAGAAGGCGGCUACCUGGUGACAGGAUGCUAAUCCCAAAAACCUCUCUCAGUUCGGAUCGAAGUCUGCAACCCGACUUCGUGAAGCUGGAUUCGCUAGUAAUCGCGCAUCAGCCAUGGCGCGGUGAAUACGUUCCCGGGCCUUGUACACACCGCCCGUCAAGCCAUGAAAGCCGGGGGUACCUGAAGUACGUAACCGCAAGGAGCGUCCUAGGGUAAAACUGGUAAUUGGGGCUAAGUC